GCUGGCGGCACGCCUAAUACAUGCAAGUCGAACGAGGUAGCAAUACCUAGUGGCAGACGGGUGAGUAACAUGUGGGUACCUUCCCUUUGGUGAGGAAUAACACGAGGAAACUUGUGCUAAUACCUCAUAAGUCUUUACAGAGAAAGCUUUAUGCGCCAAUGGAUGGGCCCGCACUUGAUUAGUUAGUUGGUAGGGUAAUGGCUUACCAAGACUUUGAUCAAUAGCUGAUUUGAGAGGAUGAUCAGCCACAUUGGGACUGAGACACGGCCCAAACUCCUACGGGAGGCAGCAGUAGGGAAUCUUGCACAAUGGAGGAAACUCUGAUGCAGCGAUGCCGCGUGAGUGAAGAAGGCCCUUGGGUUGUAAAGCUCUUUCGUCGGGGAAGAAAAUGACUGUACCCGAAUAAGAAGGUCCGGCUAACUUCGUGCCAGCAGCCGCGGUAAUACGAAGGGACCUAGCGUAGUUCGGAAUUACUGGGCUUAAAGAGUUCGUAGGUGGUUAAAAAAGUUGGUGGUGAAAUCCCAGAGCUUAACUCUGGAACUGCCAUCAAAACUUUUUAGCUAGAGUAUGAUAGAGGAAAGCAGAAUUUCUAGUGUAGAGGUGAAAUUCGUAGAUAUUAGAAAGAAUACCGAUUGCGAAGGCAGCUUUCUGGAUCAUUACUGACACUGAGGAACGAAAGCAUGGGUAGCGAAGAGGAUUAGAUACCCUCGUAGUCCAUGCCGUAAACGAUGUGUGUUAGAUGUUGGAAAUUUAUUUUCAGUAUCGCAGCGAAAGCGUUAAACACACCGCCUGGGGAGUACGACCGCA
RNAcentral lists this ribosomal RNA (807 nucleotides) under uncultured Pelagibacteraceae bacterium. RNAcentral describes it as "bacterial SSU rRNA". It matches the Rfam family "Bacterial small subunit ribosomal RNA", at positions 35 to 890 of the family's 1533-position model. The record is from RNAcentral. Lineage: Bacteria; Pseudomonadati; Pseudomonadota; Alphaproteobacteria; Candidatus Pelagibacterales; Candidatus Pelagibacteraceae.